RNAcentral lists this non-coding RNA (29 nucleotides) under Homo sapiens (human). Lineage: Eukaryota; Metazoa; Chordata; Mammalia; Primates; Hominidae. The record is from RNAcentral.
UGCCUUUUCCUGAGUGUGCAUGAGUGCGU